RNAcentral lists this ribosomal RNA (497 nucleotides) under uncultured bacterium. Its description in RNAcentral is "partial 16S ribosomal RNA". It matches the Rfam family "Bacterial small subunit ribosomal RNA", at positions 28 to 507 of the family's 1533-position model. The record is from RNAcentral.
GAUGAACGCUGGCGGCGUGCCUAAUACAUGCCAGUCGAGCGAACGGACGAGAAGCUUGCUUCUCUGAUGUUAGCGGCGGACGGGUGAGUAACACGUGGAUAACCUACCUAUAAGACUGGGAUAACUUCGGGAAACCGUAGCUAAUACCGGAUAAUAUUUUGAACCGCAUGGUUCAAAAGUGAAAGACGGUCUUGCUGUCACUUAUAGAUGGAUCCGCGCUGCAUUAGCUAGUUGGUAAGGUAACGGCUUACCAAGGCAACGAUGCAUAGCCGACCUGAGAGGGUGAUCGGCCACACUGGAAGUGAGACACGGUCCAGACUCCGACGGUAGGCAGCAGUAGGGAAUCUUACGCGAUGGGCGAGAGCCUGACGUAGCAACGCCGCGUGAAUGAUGAAGGUCUUCGGAUCGGAAAGCUCUGUUGUUAGGGGAGAACAAAUGUGUAAUUAACUGUGCUCAUCUUGACGGUACCGAAUCAAAAAGCCACGGCUAACUACGUG